CAGGAUGAACGCUGGCGGCGUGCUUAACACAUGCAAGUCGAACGAUGAAGCCCAGCUUGCUGGGUGGAUUAGUGGCGAACGGGUGAGUAACACGUGAGUAACCUGCCCUUAACUUUGGGAUAAGCCUGGGAAACUAGGUCUAAUACCGGAUAGGAGCGCCUACCGCAUGGUGGGUGUUGGAAAGAUUUAUCGGUUUUGGAUGGACUCGCGGCCUAUCAGCUUGUUGGUGAGGUAAUGGCUCACCAAGGCGACGACGGGUAGCCGGCG
This 267-nucleotide ribosomal RNA is filed under the name Micrococcus luteus. RNAcentral describes it as "partial 16S ribosomal RNA". It matches the Rfam family "Bacterial small subunit ribosomal RNA", at positions 25 to 292 of the family's 1533-position model. The record is from RNAcentral. Lineage: Bacteria; Bacillati; Actinomycetota; Actinomycetes; Micrococcales; Micrococcaceae.